Molecule: ribosomal RNA, 329 nt
Filed under: uncultured Lacibacter sp.
Lineage: Bacteria; Pseudomonadati; Bacteroidota; Chitinophagia; Chitinophagales; Chitinophagaceae
Description: bacterial SSU rRNA
Rfam family: Bacterial small subunit ribosomal RNA
Source: RNAcentral
AGCGUAGGUGGGCUUGUAAGUCAGUGGUGAAAUCUCUGGGCUUAACCCGGAAACUGCCAUUGAUACUAUAGGUCUUGAAUUCUCUGGAGGUAAGCGGAAUAUGUCAUGUAGCGGUGAAAUGCUUAGAUAUGACAUAGAACACCCAUUGCGAAGGCAGCUUACUACGGAGACAUUGACACUGAGGCUCGAAAGCGUGGGGAUCAAACAGGAUUAGAUACCCUGGUAGUCCACGCCCUAAACGAUGAUUACUCGACAUUAGCGAUAUUACUGUUAGUGUCUAAGCGAAAGCAUUAAGUAAUCCACCUGGGAAGUACGACCGCAAGGUUGAA